GUGCGAAUGCUGACAUAAGUAACGAUAAAGCGGGUGAAAAGCCCGCUCGCCGGAAGACCAAGGGUUCCUGUCCAACGUUAAUCGGGGCAGGGUGAGUCGACCCCUAAGGCGAGGCCGAAAGGCGUAGUCGAUGGGAAACAGGUUAAUAUUCCUGUACUUGGUGUUACUGCGAAGGGGGGACGGAGAAGGCUAUGUCAGCCGGGCGACGGUUGUCCCGGUUUAAGCAUGUAGGCGGAGGUUCCAGGUAAAUCCGGUACCUUAUUAACGCUGAGGUGUGAUGACGAGGCACUACGGUGCUGAAGUGAUAAAUGCCCUGCUUCCAGGAAAAGCCUCUAAGCAUCAGGUAACACGAAAUCGUACCCCAAACCGACACAGGUGGUCAGGUAGAGAAUACCAAGGCGCUUGAGAGAACUCGGGUGAAGGAACUAGGCAAAAUGGUGCCGUAACU
This 448-nucleotide ribosomal RNA is filed under the name Enterobacter hormaechei. RNAcentral's name for it is "partial 23S ribosomal RNA". It matches the Rfam family "Bacterial large subunit ribosomal RNA", at positions 1288 to 1735 of the family's 2925-position model. The record is from RNAcentral. Lineage: Bacteria; Pseudomonadati; Pseudomonadota; Gammaproteobacteria; Enterobacterales; Enterobacteriaceae.